RNAcentral lists this long non-coding RNA (922 nucleotides) under Cricetulus griseus (Chinese hamster). RNAcentral describes it as "lncRNA (ENSCGRG00015034340.1)". Lineage: Eukaryota; Metazoa; Chordata; Mammalia; Rodentia; Cricetidae. The record is from RNAcentral.
CCAGCCCUAAAACAGAGCCAUCAAGGCUAGUAACUGGGAAAAGGCAAGCUCUUGGAAACCAGGCUGAUGAGUGUAGAAGGCAAGACGACCUAGGGAGUAAGGGGUUAAAGAAGAAGAGGAAGUGAUGGCUGUGAGCUCUGCUGAGAAGGAAGAGAAAGGAAAAGAGCAACAUGAAGAUAGCAGCUACCACUUACUGGACUCGCUGUGCCAGGCGCUGGUCCAAGGGCCAGCUUCUAGCUGCGAUCUUGCUUCAGCCUCUCCACACUCUGGUUAGGGUCAUGCAUCUGAUCAGUAGCAGACCUGAGAUUUAAACCCAACUCUUAUGAGACCUGGGAGUACACCCCUGUGAUACAAGGUCUCACUAUAGUCCAAGAUGGCCUGGAAUUCCUGAUCCUCUUGCUUCAGACUCCUAAGUACCAUCACGAUCAGCUAAUCUACUUUAAUCAAACCAACUUUCAAAAGAAUUUCAGAAGCAAAUGGCUCAAACAUGAAAGUAGGGAGUAAAUACUGCUCUCUGUUUCCCUCUAACCCCAAGAUCUCACUGUGUAGUCAGGCUAGCUUCUAACUCAUGGCACUACUCCUGCCUCAGCCUUUAGACUGUUGGGAUUACAGAUGUGAGUCUCCACACUCAGCGCAUUUGUUUUGUCUAGUCCAUGUUAUUAAGCAUCUCUCCAGAUGCCUCUUUAACAAUAUGAACGUUCAGCUGUGCAUCUAAUACUCCGUAGAGGUGUCUGUAUGAAGAAGGCCUCCUGGGAUUAGAGAAAAGAAUGCUUGGGAAAUGAAGGCAUCACUUUCCAUGUCCUACAGAUACCUGUGAAAGACAAUUAUCUCUUCCCUAUUGGUCAGGGGAGAAAACCAAGGCCCUCAAAGGUUAAAUCAUUUCCCAAAAGUUAUUUAACAGACAGGAAGUGCUUGAGCCAGG